Long non-coding RNA from Bactrocera neohumeralis, 538 nucleotides. RefSeq lists it as uncharacterized. The record is from RefSeq and is a predicted model, not a curated record. The transcript is spliced from 3 exons. Lineage: Eukaryota; Metazoa; Arthropoda; Insecta; Diptera; Tephritidae.
CCGAUCGAUUGUGUUGGAGUUUGUACUUCUUUCGUUGCCUUUAUCAUGUUUGUAGAAAGACAAUUUUCAUGUAUAGAUACUGUGAACUUCACCACUUAGUGCCAAUCGUCCGUCUAACUACUGGCGAUACCGGGGAAAAAGAUAAAGCAGUGAGAGAGUAUUUACUCCUAGUGCUCGUACAGUUAAAGUGGUUGCGGAGGUAGCUUUGAAUGUAAUAUGCAACUCACCUCAGUUAAUGGUGGAUACAAAAACGAUUAGUAGAUGAAAGAUUUUCGCAUAUUACAGUUUCAAUGUGUUUUGUAAUUUUUGGAAUCUUCUAUCCAAAAUCAAUAUCAAAUCACAAUACAAAUGAUAGGUGGGGCUGGACCAACAUAUAUAAUAUGUACAAACGGUGUAGCCUCAAAUUUGAUGAAUAAAUGCAUAUGCAUUUGUCACUAAUAUGUAGAUUAGUCAAUUCAAAAUCUAUAAGAAAAUGCUUAUUUCUUAAGAAAUCUUAUAGUUUAAAAAAUAAUGUCUGAUAUGUAUGUAGAUUAACCAA